Molecule: ribosomal RNA, 253 nt
Filed under: uncultured bacterium
Lineage: Bacteria
Description: partial 16S ribosomal RNA
Rfam family: Bacterial small subunit ribosomal RNA
Source: RNAcentral
UACGAAGGGGGCUAGCGUUGCUCGGAAUCACUGGGCGUAAAGCGCACGUAGGCGGCUUUUUAAGUCAGGGGUGAAAUCCUGGAGCUCAACUCCAGAACUGCCUUUGAUACUGAAGAUCUUGAGUUCGGGAGAGGUGAGUGGAACUGCGAGUGUAGAGGUGAAAUUCGUAGAUAUUCGCAAGAACACCAGUGGCGAAGGCGGCUCACUGGCCCGAUACUGACGCUGGGGCACGAAAGCGUGGGGAGCAAACAGG